GUCUGCAGCCAUACCACCCUGACUGUGCCCAAUCUCAUUUGAUCUUGGAAGCUAAGUAGGGUUAAGUCUGUUUAGUUCUUGAAUGGGAGAAGUAAAAUUGUAUUCC
RNAcentral lists this ribosomal RNA (106 nucleotides) under Fukomys damarensis (Damara mole-rat). The record is from RNAcentral. Lineage: Eukaryota; Metazoa; Chordata; Mammalia; Rodentia; Bathyergidae.